UGUUUAUCAAAAACAUGUCUUUUUGAUAAUAAUAUAAAGUCUAACCUGCCCACUGAUUUAAUUAAAGGGCCGCGGUAUAUUGACUGUGCAAAGGUAGCAUAAUCAUUUGUCUUUUAAUUGAAGGCUAGAAUGAAUGGUUGAAUGAAGUAUUAACUGUCUCAUUUUUAAAAAAUAAAAAAUUAAUUUUUUAGUUAAAAAGCUAAAAUAAUUUUAAAGGACGAGAAGACCCUAUAGAUCUUUAUAAUUUAAUUUAAAAUAAAUAUUAGAUUAAUAUAUUUUUAUAUUAAAUUAAAUUAUUUUAUUGGGGUGAUAGGAAAAUUUAAUUAACUUUUUUUAUUAUAAACAUUUAUUUAUGAAUAAUUGAUCCUUUUUUAAAGAUUAAAAGUUUAAGUUACCUUAGGGAUAACAGCGUAAUUUUUUUAGAGAGUUCAUAUCGAUAAAAAAGAUUGCGACCUCGAUGUUGAAUUAAAGGUUAUUUUUAAAUGCAGAAGUUUAAAGUUUAAGUCUGUUCGACUUUUGAAUCUUUCAUGAUCUGAGUUCAACCCGG
Molecule: ribosomal RNA, 547 nt
Filed under: Zeugomantispa minuta
Lineage: Eukaryota; Metazoa; Arthropoda; Insecta; Neuroptera; Mantispidae
Description: partial 16S ribosomal RNA
Rfam family: Bacterial large subunit ribosomal RNA
Source: RNAcentral